RNAcentral lists this transfer RNA (75 nucleotides) under Symmachiella macrocystis. RNAcentral describes it as "Planctomycetes bacterium CA54 tRNA-Pro". It matches the Rfam family "tRNA". From Rfam's summary of the family: Transfer RNA (tRNA) molecules are approximately 80 nucleotides in length. Their secondary structure includes four short double-helical elements and three loops (D, anti-codon, and T loops). Further hydrogen bonds mediate the characteristic L-shaped molecular structure. tRNAs have two regions of fundamental functional importance: the anti-codon, which is responsible for specific mRNA codon recognition, and the 3' end, to which the tRNAs corresponding amino acid is attached (by aminoacyl-tRNA synthetases). tRNAs cope with the degeneracy of the genetic code in two manners: having more than one tRNA (with a specific anti-codon) for a particular amino acid; and 'wobble' base-pairing, i.e. permitting non-standard base-pairing at the 3rd anti-codon position. Lineage: Bacteria; Pseudomonadati; Planctomycetota; Planctomycetia; Planctomycetales; Planctomycetaceae. The record is from RNAcentral.
CAGGACGUGGGAAAGUUUGGUAAUCCGCGUGCCUCGGGCGCACGAGAUCGUCGGUUCAAAUCCGACCGUCCUGAC